GUCCCCUCAGCCAUAGGGAGUUGGUGGUAUGGUCAGAUGAGGGCUGCCAUCUUAAACCUUCCCAAAUCUAGGUAAGUGCUUCACAAAAUUCCACGUUUAAAAAAUCCCCGAAUUGCAGCAAGGCAGGAAAGAGUUAAGCAGGGAGUUGUGGAAAGGUGGGAGGGGGCAGAGGGAGAGAGAAAAGAGUUGCCCUGUUAAUUUGUUCUCAGCUUCCAAAACACAGCCACAGGAAAGUAACUCAUGAAUACCUGAAACAAAAAAAAUUCCUUCCAGUAGCACCUUAAAGACCAACUAAGUUAGUUCUUGGUAUGAGCUUUCGUGUGCAUGCACACUUCUUCAGAAGUGUGCAUGCACACCUAUACUCAUGAAUACCUGAGUAUAGGUGCUUAAGGGCUACUGAGUGCAUUGCAGCCAAGAGAGAAGCAGCUCUGCACAGCUCCCAGGCACCAGUGAGGCUGCUCGCUCUCGCCUGUCACCUGCCUCUGCCUCCUGGUGGUGGCAGUAAGGGCGAUGCCUGAGGCUGAGUGGGUUCAGGGGGCGGCGGCACAGGCACAUGCUCUCCCACCGAUAAAGAGGGAAGGCGAGGGAGGGGGAAAGGGAGCAGUGCACCCGGCAGUGUCCCCCUCACUAUGCAGCUCUGUGGCACCUGUGCCUGGCCACUCCUCCUCUUUUCUCCAACUGUGGCAGCAGGGACACAUGGAUCCCUGCCACACCACUGUCCUUGGAGGCCAGGUAGACAAUCAGUGUUUGUCAGGAGACAAAUGUUUGCUCUCACUCCAACAGUAUCUCCAGGUAUAGCAUUCUACUUUUUCUUAUUGGCAGUCAUUCAUUGAGAGAUAUAUUUGUAAAGUACAGGGUUGCCUCUACUGCAGUUAGAGUAUGGUUAUCAGACGUCCCUGUUUCCUAGGGACAGUCCCCGGAUUUGCGAAUAAGUCACCGGACAAAUUCCAUUCCCUGGACUGUCCCAGGAUUUCAUCUAAUAUCCCCAGGAAAUGUAGCAGUGGCAAUCUCAGCAGUCCGGAGUAGUUGGCUCUGGCUGGCUUCAGGAGCUGCUCGGAAGUCCCCAUAUGAUGGUGGUGCAGGGGCUCUAAGAUGCAGCUUCUGGGCUGCCUCCACCUUCCCUGACCCCAGCAACUAAGCUGUGAAGGGAGGCUUCAUGCUGCCUAUCAGAGCUUGCAUGCAAGCAGGAGGGGGCAGGGAUCUCUCAGUUAGGCAACGGGAAGCCUCCCUUCCCAGCUGAGGGAUCCCCGCCCCCUCCUGCUUGCAUGCAAGUAGGAGUGGGAUUGGGGCUGCUCUGAUGGGAAGGGAGGCAUCGCACUGCCCAAGCCUCGCCGCCGCAACUCUCGGCCCUCCUCCUCCACUUUCCAUGCCUGACCCAUCACACACCGCUUCCCCACCACCACCACCGAAGAACCAACAACUCAGGCUCAUGGAGAAAGGAGAUAGAAACCUUGGAGGAAGUGGAAAUGUGGCGGUUGAGGUCAAGGCGGCGGCGCCCCCUCUGCCACCACCAUCACUGCAGCAUCAACGCCCCAAACGUGUAGUAAUUAUUUAAUUAAAGUGUCCCCGGAUUCAUUGAAAAAAAUCUGGUAACCUUAAGUUAGAGGCACAAUAUCUCCCAUAAAGGCACUGUCUUUAGAGACCAGCCACCCAAUGUUGGGGUUGAUGUACUAAUCACUCCUCCGCUAGAACACCCAACUGCAGUCUUUUAUGUUUUCCUCUUCCUUGCAUAGAAUGCUGAUCAGUUGGAUCCCAUAAACUGAUUCCCUCCCUGGCAGCAGCCCUUUCUUCUUAAACUUUUCUUUGCUAUCAACAGCCUCAAAUAUGCCUAUGGAGCUAUUAGCGAUUAAUUCAUCUCCAAAUGGUGAUUAUGGGGUCUGUAAUGAAUACUAAUAUGACUUAUUUUCCUCCCUAGCAGGCCUUUUGCAUUUUGCAACAUUGCCUUGUUUUAUAGAUUAUUCAUAUGUAACAAUGGUUAAAUAUGCAAAUUUACAGCAGAUAACUCUCUCCAGAGGGGAAGAGCAGAGCUGCCCCUGGGCCCCGUUUAGAAAAUUAAAAACAGAGGGUGACUAAUACAUUGGUAUAAUAACUAUCCCUAUUUCCCAGCCUAAGGAUUUUCUUUUGGGGGGGGGGAGUUCUUCCUCUGUUUUUGCUUACAGCCACUUGAGCACCUUCAGAGAAUUUCAAGGGCAGACAGAAGACUUUUCUGUCAUUUCUGUAGCACCACUCUGCACAUUGCUUCUAUUUUUCUUUCACAUCUUCAGGAAAAACCACACCUGCUUUCAGUUAUAAUCUUUACCCACUUAUCAUGGGAAUAAAAAAUUAGGUAAAUAUGAACCCUUUCCCCCAGAAACAGUUACCUGCCCUGGAGCUCAUGGGCAUGGUGGCUUUGGAUUAAAUAGACUACAUACUCAGAAAGCUGUGGUGACUUUAUCCACAGAAACUUGAAAUGGCUGUGGUCUUCCUAGGUUUCUGUGUUAUGAGUUUUUCAUUAACACCUUAGUUUAUUUUAAAUUUAGUGUUUUGCUUGUGAUUUGCAGUAGUG
Molecule: long non-coding RNA, 2545 nt
Filed under: Podarcis muralis (Common wall lizard)
Lineage: Eukaryota; Metazoa; Chordata; Lepidosauria; Squamata; Lacertidae
Description: lncRNA (ENSPMRG00000014659.1)
Source: RNAcentral